This 1649-nucleotide long non-coding RNA is filed under the name Triticum aestivum (bread wheat). Its description in RNAcentral is "long non-coding RNA (TAES_LNC007231)". Lineage: Eukaryota; Viridiplantae; Streptophyta; Magnoliopsida; Poales; Poaceae. The record is from RNAcentral.
AAAUUUUAAGUUUUGAGUUCCAUCCUAGGAAUCAAAUCCUCCGAGACGUAUUACACAAAACCAUGUGGAAGAUUUUCUGAAGUUGGCACCCUCCUUCGUCUGAUGAAUUGACUUUGAUCUGCUAUGCAAUAAAAAGCUGAUGGUGAAAUUCCUUUGGACGUAGGUUUGAAUUUUCAAGAGCUUUUGAAAACGAGAGAUGCACUCUUUACAAAGGUAAAAUAUUGUUCUUAGAUAACUUUGACACAUCACGAAUAUUUUAGCACACACACAUGUGGGUUCGGCAGUAUGAUAAUAAUAGACAUAAUACCAGAUUAUUAAACUGCUUUACAACCCAAACAUCUCAAAGGAAUAAUACUCUUGCAUGUAAUGCUAUCUUAAUAAUAAUCCAUAUUUGAUAUGAGAAACUCAGAAGGAAAAGUAUCUAACCUUGGUCAUUUGUCCUUCCUCUUUUCGACUCGCCGGUGCCUGUACAUGUUAGCGAGAACAAGUAAAUGCCAUGGGUCUAAAAUUAUAAACUUGAAGGUUGAAACAAGUUAUAAAUGUUAACUAAAUCAAUACAUAAAUAAUUAUUUAGAAUCUGUUACCCAUUUAUCCUCUAAUCUUCCAGCAAUUAUUUUUGGAUUUCGGGCUCCAUGGAGGCCAUUUAAAAAAUACAAAAACCACAUUUAAAGUUUCAUUUUUUAACAAAAGAUACAUAGGAACCUAGGGAUGUAUAUUACAUCUCGUAAAGUUUCACGAUGAAAUUCGUUGAAGUUCAACUACACAAUAAAAUCAUCUCUUUCUAGCACAUGUACUAUUCACUAUAAAAGUUAUGAUUUUAUUUAUUGUAUGGAUCACACAAAAGAGUAUCUGAUCAUGAAACUUGACAUAAAUGGAGUAUACAUCUCAAUGUUCAUGUGUAUUUUUUCUUCAGAUUUAUUAUUAUUGUUGUUUUUCAAAAAUAGGGCUCCAUGGAGCUUGGGAGCAAGACAUACACUCUCCAAAUAAAAUAGCGGAAUAUACAUAAAAAUAUUUAACACAUGGAUAAGAUUUGUAUAUACAAGCAUGUAUAAAAAAUUACACAAUCAUAUCAUGCAUACCAUUUCCUUGUAAAGUAGGAUUUAUUGAUUUCUGCAAGGGAAUAUAAGAGUAUGUUAGUAUAAAAAAGUUGAAAGGCAUGAGCAAUAUAGACACAUAAUACACACAUUAUACAUUGUAAUAUCUGCGAUUUAUGGUAAAAGAAGGAAUGAUCUCACACAUGCAGACAUAUUUAUUAUAUACAUCCGUAAAACAUCACUAAUGAACUAGUUUAUUCCUCUAACAAAGAAAUAGUUAAAACCAAUAUAGUCUCAUAGCAUACUCGAUAGUCAAUAUAUGACCAAUGCUAAACGUGAUCACCAUAGUAGCAAUAGAAGUAUUUGUUGUGUUUUGUUGAUGGGGUUAUUUGUGAGAAGAAACAUAUAUCAUAACCUUAUAUUUUCUCUAGAUCGAAGGCAGGAAAAGGGGGUACAUCUGUCCUAAAAAAUAAACAUACAAAACUAAAAGAUAUAAAUAUACUAACCCGAGUUUUAUGCCCACCAUUAUCUUCUCGAGCUCCUUUUUUGACUUUCUUUGCACUUUGGAUGUUGGACGAGUUUUCUUUGCCAAUAAAGUAUACUUCUUGUUUCUUA